Molecule: ribosomal RNA, 1343 nt
Filed under: uncultured bacterium
Lineage: Bacteria
Description: 16S ribosomal RNA
Rfam family: Bacterial small subunit ribosomal RNA
Source: RNAcentral
GACGAACGCUGGCGGCGUGCUUAACACAUGCAAGUCGAACGGAAAGGCCCUGCUUUUGUGGGGUGCUCGAGUGGCGAACGGGUGAGUAACACGUGAGUAACCUGCCCUUGACUUUGGGAUAACUUCAGGAAACUGGGGCUAAUACCGGAUAGGAGCUCCUGCUGCAUGGUGGGGGUUGGAAAGUUUCGGCGGUUGGGGAUGGACUCGCGGCUUAUCAGCUUGUUGGUGGGGUAGUGGCUUACCAAGGCUUUGACGGGUAGCCGGCCUGAGAGGGUGACCGGCCACAUUGGGACUGAGAUACGGCCCAGACUCCUACGGGAGGCAGCAGUGGGGAAUAUUGCACAAUGGGCGGAAGCCUGAUGCAGCAACGCCGCGUGCGGGAUGACGGCCUUCGGGUUGUAAACCGCUUUCGCCUGUGACGAAGCGUGAGUGACGGUAAUGGGUAAAGAAGCACCGGCUAACUACGUGCCAGCAGCCGCGGUGAUACGUAGGGUGCGAGCGUUGUCCGGAUUUAUUGGGCGUAAAGGGCUCGUAGGUGGUUGAUCGCGUCGGAAGUGUAAUCUUGGGGCUUAACCCUGAGCGUGCUUUCGAUACGGGUUGACUUGAGGAAGGUAGGGGAGAAUGGAAUUCCUGGUGGAGCGGUGGAAUGCGCAGAUAUCAGGAGGAACACCAGUGGCGAAGGCGGUUCUCUGGGCCUUUCCUGACGCUGAGGAGCGAAAGCGUGGGGAGCGAACAGGCUUAGAUACCCUGGUAGUCCACGCUGUAAACGGUGGGUACUAGGUGUGGGGUCCAUUCCACGGGUUCCGUGCCGUAGCUAACGCUUUAAGUACCCCGCCUGGGGAGUACGGCCGCAAGGCUAAAACUCAAAGGAAUUGACGGGGCCCCGCACAAGCGGCGGAGCAUGCGGAUUAAUUCGAUGCAACGCGUAGAACCUUACCUGGGUUUGACAUGGAUCGGGAGCGCUCAGAGAUGGGUGUGCCUCUUUUGGGGUCGGUUCACAGGUGGUGCAUGGCUGUCGUCAGCUCGUGUCGUGAGAUGUUGGGUUAAGUCCCGCAACGAGCGCAACCCUUGUUCACUGUUGCCAGCACGUUAUGGUGGGGACUCAGUGGAGACCGCCGGGGUCAACUCGGAGGAAGGUGGGGAUGACGUCAAGUCAUUAUGCCCCUUAUGUCCAGGGCUUCACGCAUGCUACAAUGGCUGGUACAGAGAGUGGCGAGCCUGUGAGGGUGAGCGAAUCUCGGAAAGCCGGUCUCAGUUCGGAUUGGGGUCUGCAACUCGACCUCAUGAAGUCGGAGUCGCUAGUAAUCGCAGAUCAGCAACGCUGCGGUGAAUACGUUCCCGGG